AUUGAACGCUGGCGGCAUGCCUUACACAUGCAAGUCGAACGGUAACAGGUCUUCGGAUGCUGACGAGUGGCGAACGGGUGAGUAAUACACCGGAACGUGCCCGAUCGUGGGGGUUAACGAGGCUAAAGCUUUGCUAAUACCGCAUACGAUCUACGGUUGAAAUCGGGGGAUCUUCGGACCUCGCGCGGACGGAGCGGCCGGUGGCAGAUUAGGUAGUUGGUGGGAUAAAAGCUUACCAAGCCGACGAUCUGUAGCUGGUCUGAGAGGAUGAUCAGCCACACUGGGACUGAGACACGGCCCAGACUCCUACGGGAGGCAGCAGUGGGGAAUUUUGGACAAUGGGCGAAAGCCUGAUCCAGCCAUGCCGCGUGCAGGAUGAAGGCCUUCGGGUUGUAAACUGCUUUUGUACGGAACGAAAAGCCUCUUUCUAAUAAAGAGGGGUCAUGACGGUACCGGAAGAAUAAGCACCGGCUAACUACGUG
RNAcentral lists this ribosomal RNA (482 nucleotides) under uncultured bacterium. Its description in RNAcentral is "partial 16S ribosomal RNA". It matches the Rfam family "Bacterial small subunit ribosomal RNA", at positions 30 to 507 of the family's 1533-position model. The record is from RNAcentral.